RNAcentral lists this ribosomal RNA (188 nucleotides) under uncultured Bacteroidota bacterium. RNAcentral describes it as "uncultured Bacteroidetes bacterium partial 16S ribosomal RNA". It matches the Rfam family "Bacterial small subunit ribosomal RNA", at positions 340 to 525 of the family's 1533-position model. Lineage: Bacteria; Pseudomonadati; Bacteroidota. The record is from RNAcentral.
UACGGGAGGCAGCAGUGAGGAAUAUUGGACAAUGGGCGCAAGCCUGAUCCAGCCAUGCCGCGUGCAGGAUGACGGUCCUAUGGAUUGUAAACUGCUUUUGUACAGGAAGAAACACCUCUACGUGUAGAGACUUGACGGUACUGUAAGAAUAAGGAUCGGCUAACUCCGUGCCAGCAGCCGCGGUAAUA